GCCAGACUCCUACGGGAGGCAGCAGUGGGGGAUAUUGCACAAUGGGGGAAACCCUGAUGCAGCAACGCCGCGUGAGUGAAGAAGUAUUUCGGUAUGUAAAGCUCUAUCAGCAGGGAAGAGAAUGACGGUACCUGACUAAGAAGCCCCGGCUAACUACGUGCCAGCAGCCGCGGUAAUACGUAGGGGGCGAGCGUUAUCCGGAUUUACUGGGUGUAAAGGGAGCGUAGACGGCUGGUCAAGUCUGAAGUGAAAGCCCGGGGCUUAACCCCGGAACGGCUUUGGAAACUGAGCAGCUAGAGUGCUGGAGAGGUAAGCGGAAUUCCUAGUGUAGCGGUGAAAUGCGUAGAUAUUAGGAGGAACACCAGUGGCGAAGGCGGCUUACUGGACAGUAACUGACGUUGAGGCUCGAAAGCGUGGGGAGCAAACAGGAUUAGAUACCCGAGUAC
RNAcentral lists this ribosomal RNA (446 nucleotides) under uncultured bacterium. RNAcentral describes it as "bacterial SSU rRNA". It matches the Rfam family "Bacterial small subunit ribosomal RNA", at positions 330 to 793 of the family's 1533-position model. The record is from RNAcentral.